CACCCUGAAAGGCAAGGACGCCAACAGCAUGGUGUGAUUAUGCCACCCACUCCCCAGACUUGCAUGGUCGCUAAGUAUCAAGGAAGAGCUGUACAAUCUUAAGAGGAUGCACAUUAAGGACAGAUUCAUCUCUAAGGCAAGGACUUCCCUCUCUGACAGAGCCCUGAUCAACAGACUGUCCAGAAAAAAGAAAAUGUUCACACCCUGAAGACGAAGAAAUGCUAUACGGGGACCAGGAUCUUUGUAAACACCGUUGGUGCUGAUGACAGGCCGAAUGGGGCCUCUUCCGAAGAAGAUGAAGGAGAGGCAUGUCUAUGGCAUUUGCAGUAUCUAUGCUGCCCAAGUGCUUGCUGGCUAGCCUCAAAUGAUUUCUUAAUAGCCACAGCCACCCAUUCUUGCCAGUCCACAGCCUUAUCAGGUCCCGCAGUAGGGGAGCAUGCAGUUCUGUCUCCUUUGAGCCUCUGACUGGAUCCUGCUGCACUGGGGAAAAGGCGUUGAUGUGCGAGCCAGAAGGCAGGCGCCGACCCGAUGGUGAGAGGACCAGCGGUGAAGGGGAAGCGAGGAGCACUGGCCUCUGGAUGCUGAUCUCGGACGUGCUUUCGCUCCCCAGCAGCUGGCGGGCAUGCUUCUUUCCUCUUGGGGAAGAGCGGCUCCGCUUCUUGUGCUUGCUAGCCUUGCGUCCCUCUCGCUUUGAUCCUAGUUCCCUUCUGGCUCCUUGGCUGCCAACGAGGGGAGCAGCUGAGACCCAGAGGCACCAGCGGAACUCCCUGCAGCGCCCCCUAAUGAGGAGGCCUUCCGCUUUAAAGGUGGGGAAAGCCUGGCUUUGGCGUGCUGGACCCUGAAGGCCAGAACCAGCAGCUUCCUGAGUUCCCCUGUCGAGGAGUAAAAAAUUAAAGGCUUAAAAAAACAAACAAAACAAAAAACACCCCCAGGAAACGAGAACAUUUAAGGAGAGAAUAGAAUCCAGAAACACAAAAUCAGGAGGGUAGAACAAGAGGACACAAGAGCAAAAAGCCAAAGGGUAAAGUAGCCAAAGCAGGAUAGAGAGCUCAAGCUAUCUGACUAGUCACUCUAGUUAAAGGCAGGAAACAGGCCUGGAAGGGAUCGCCCCUUGUGGGCUAGUUAAGGGUCUCUUCAAGAACAUAUUUCCUGCCUUCUGGAGCACUAUGAGUGACCUCCUACACCAGCAGAGAAUAGAGCUGGCCGCAGCAACAGCACACAUCCAUUGGAUCUUCUGGUGCCAUAUUGCCAGUCACCGCCAGCUAAUGGCAACACAGUUCCUACCUCUCUUUCCUGCAUUGCCUGGCUGUGAUGGGAGGGAGAUGGAGAGAGUGUAAAGAGGAACUCAUCCGGGUCUCUUCUGUGACCGCAGUAGCCCACAAAGGAUGCCCAGGAGCCUGGCUGCCACCAGAAGAAAUAUCUGCUACUCAGAACCUGGAUGUCUCACGAGUUCACCUGAGGAGCUAUUUCUGUCUGGCUGAGCAGAGGGCAACAGAUUCUGAUCACUGGUGUCUAUGUUAUCCACUUGUCUCUAGCUAUGAAAAACAGAUCAUCCUUAGGAACAAAUAGGGGGUUGCGAGGGGUGUGUGUGUUAGAUCAGGAUCUCUUGGCACUUUCCUCCCUUUCCUUUGGGCUACAGAAAGCAGUUCAGGGGCAACAAAUGGAGUCUGUGAUCAUCUUAUCUUUGCCAUUUUAGAUAAGAUGGCAAAAAAAAGAGAUGGCAUUAAACUGGCUAAAAAUCAGUUUAUUAAAAUGAACAAAUGGAGUCUGAAUCUGGAAUCACUUUAUGCCUUUUUAUGUAGACUGCAAAAGCAGUUCAGUGAAAGGAAAAGACUGGGGUCUGUAACUACUUGGGAUGUCUUUGCAGUUUUGCUAGAGAAAAUAGUUCAUCAAAGGGAGCAAACCAGUGUGUUGGGUUCUGUUAUCCUGUAAUCUGUUUGCACUUUGCAGGGAGGAGGGGGAGGACUACCAAAACCAGGGAAAAAGAGAACAAGCUAGUGUUGACUACUGCUAUGAAUUUGGGGAAUCCAUUCCCUUUUAUUUUUUGGCCAUAAAAAUCAGUUCAAUAAAGAGGGACAAACUGG
This is a long non-coding RNA of Hemicordylus capensis (graceful crag lizard), 2084 nucleotides long. RefSeq lists it as uncharacterized. The record is from RefSeq and is a predicted model, not a curated record. The transcript is spliced from 4 exons. NCBI's taxonomy places the organism in Eukaryota, Metazoa, Chordata, Lepidosauria, Squamata, Cordylidae.